RNAcentral lists this ribosomal RNA (253 nucleotides) under uncultured bacterium. RNAcentral's name for it is "partial 16S ribosomal RNA". It matches the Rfam family "Bacterial small subunit ribosomal RNA", at positions 524 to 776 of the family's 1533-position model. The record is from RNAcentral.
UACGUAGGGGGCAAGCGUUAUCCGGAUUUACUGGGUGUAAAGGGAGCGUAGACGGCUUUGCAAGCCAGAUGUGAAAGCCCGGGGCUCAACCCCGGGACUGCAUUUGGAACUGUGUGGCUAGAGUGUCGGAGAGGCAGGCGGAAUUCCUAGUGUAGCGGUGAAAUGCGUAGAUAUUAGGAGGAACACCAGUGGCGAAGGCGGCCUGCUGGACGAUGACUGACGUUGAGGCUCAAAAGCGUGGGGAGCAAACAGG